Molecule: ribosomal RNA, 537 nt
Filed under: Alternaria alternata
Lineage: Eukaryota; Fungi; Ascomycota; Dothideomycetes; Pleosporales; Pleosporaceae
Description: eukaryotic LSU rRNA
Rfam family: 5.8S ribosomal RNA (bases 160-313)
Source: RNAcentral
AAUAUGAGGCGGGCUGGACCUCUCGGGGUUACAGCCUUGCUGAAUUAUUCACCCUUGUCUUUUGCGUACUUCUUGUUUCCUUGGUGGGUUCGCCCACCACUAGGACAAACAUAAACCUUUUGUAAUUGCAAUCAGCGUCAGUAACAAAUUAAUAAUUACAACUUUCAACAACGGAUCUCUUGGUUCUGGCAUCGAUGAAGAACGCAGCGAAAUGCGAUAAGUAGUGUGAAUUGCAGAAUUCAGUGAAUCAUCGAAUCUUUGAACGCACAUUGCGCCCUUUGGUAUUCCAAAGGGCAUGCCUGUUCGAGCGUCAUUUGUACCCUCAAGCUUUGCUUGGUGUUGGGCGUCUUGUCUCUAGCUUUGCUGGAGACUCGCCUUAAAGUAAUUGGCAGCCGGCCUACUGGUUUCGGAGCGCAGCACAAGUCGCACUCUCUAUCAGCAAAGGUCUAGCAUCCAUUAAGCCUUUUUUUCAACUUUUGACCUCGGAUCAGGUAGGGAUACCCGCUGAACUUAAGCAUAUCAAAGCCGGGGAGGAAA